AGAGGAGGGUGGGGUGGAGGGUGGGCAGGUUCCCUGACCCUGUACACAGCACUGAGGCAGGCCUCUCUGUCGCCCAGCCCCCAGCUCCCAGCCUGCAGCCGGGUACCUGACUCGGAGGGUUCCGCAGAGCAGGCAGGCUGACCGCAGGGCCUCAUAGCGCCUUAGUCUCUUAGGGAUGCUGCGACCAAUGACGGCAAAUGGCGAGGCCUCCUGGGGUCAGGCCAAAACCAGCCUCCCUGCCGAAAUCAAGGUGUCGAUGGGGCUCUGCUCCUCUGGAGGCCCCAGGAGAGUCGGUUCCCUGCUUCACCCCUUGCCGUGGCUGCCGACACCCCUUGGCUUGUGGCUGCGUCACUCCAGUCUCUGCCUCUGUCGCCACACUGCUCUCUCCUCCUCUGUGUCAAAUCUCCUUCUCAUGAGGAUGCGAGUGACUGCACUUAGGGCCCACCUGGGAUAAUCUGGGAUUGCCCCCAUCUCAACAUCCUCAACCAAAUCUUCAAGAUCCUUUCCUGCCACAUGGAGUCAGCCACAGAUUCCAGGGUUGAGGUCCUGAUACCCUUGGGGCAUGUUGGACCCACUGUGCUAGGUGAGGACGGAAACGAGGCAGCCCAGGUGACAGGCAGUGGUGAUGGGGGCACUGUCUAGGGGCGCCCUUGGAGGGCCUGCUCAUGUCUCCCUCCAUUCCCAAAGUGGGGUCCCUCAAACCCACACAAAAGGGAGGUAGAAUGGGAGGAAGAGUGGAGCAACCAGGGAGUUUGGGCCCCCAGGUGGUGCUGGCAGCCCACGGCCCCAGAUGGGGAGGAUUUGAACCCACGAACAUCAGAGCCACGAGGCCUCCAAGGAGGGGAUACAGGACCCAGUCACGUCGGGACUUUGGAUAUAUAUCAAAUAAUUGUUUACUGUAAAAUAUUUGGGGCAUAUUUACACAAAAAUGGUACUCCUUAUUUAUCUAAAAUUCUGAUCUGACUGGGUGUCCUGUGUUUUAUCUGGUGGCCCUACCCAAGGACACAGGUGUUCCUGAUGGACCCUGGCCCAUCCUGGGCCUCUGUGGGGCCACAUAGAUGGGAGGGGCCUAGUGGGACCUGCAGGGCCUGUCUGGAAGGAAGUUGUCCUUUCACACGUGACCUGGCUAGAACUGGGGCCAAAUGGGAGAAAUUUGCCAGCCUGAGAUGGGACAAAAGUGAAAAACAGCCCCCAGCUGGAGUUGCAGGAAUCCCCCUUGGGUGGUCCCUGAGGUGCUCAGGGGUCCCCUCACCCCCAUGUCCCAGUUGCAGUUGCUAACUCUGGAUGACUCUGGCAGCCUUGGUCACCAGGCACUGCUGGUGGGGGGCAAGCCCAGCCUGCCUGCCAUGGUCUGUGCUGGGGCCACAGGGCCCCCUCCAGGUGGGUGUGUUUCUGGGGUGGGGAGGAGCACAGGGAGGGCAGAGAGAUGGGAGCACUCCCUGUUCCCACUGGGGUCCCCAGCAGAUGAGAGUCCUGGCCGUGGUAGCCUGGAGGGUGGGUCUCCUGGGAGGGUCUCUGACCUCGGCUCCCCUUCUGGGGUAAUGAAGGCAGGCCCAAGUCCUUGGGUCUGAUGCCUGGCAGGGCUCCGGGCCUUGCUGCGCCCCUCGUGCUCAGGUGGGGGGCUGUGGGGUGGGGACCGGCAGUGGCUGGAGGAGGCCAGGAUCUGGGACUGGGCUCCUGGUGUCCAUCGUGGGUGGGGGCAGCACCCACAGGGUGCCAGGAUUGCCCUGCUGGAUGCCGGACAGGGGAUACCCUGUGUCCAGCCCACUGUCAGCUCUGGGGAGGGCAGGGGCUUGGCCAAAGCCGCCCUGGGGUCCCCAGCCCUCGGUCUCUGGGGAGUUCUGGUGCCACCCACACCGAGGGCAGAGGAGCUUCUGGCAGGUGAGAGACCCACCGAGGGCAGGAGGAGCUUCUGGCGGGUGAGAGACCCAGGGAAGCAAGCUGUGCUCGUUAAUCAGGAAGGGGGGCUGGGGGGACACCAGGCAGAGCUCUGCGUUGCCUCCAGGACAGUAAUGCUCAGAGCUUUCGUGUUAGGACCCUUGCACAGUGUUAAAUGUCAGGGAGGUUGCAUCUGCCACUGUUUAGUAUGCUAGAAACUAAACGUGUGGAUAUUUAAGACACGAGAAAGCAGGGGAGUGUCACACCUCUUAUGGCCUCUGAGAACUCCACUGUCCAAGCCAGGACGGGAGAGAGAAGCCUUGGCAUUAUUGUGAAAACAGAUUUUGACCUUGGGGCUUUCUCGAAGGUUCUCGGGAGCCCCGGGGGGCCUGGACCGUGCUUUGUGAACCGAGGCUUUAGGCGGCGGAGCAGUGGGGAAGGCGAGGGGUGGGGUCCCAGCUCUGGCACCUGAGGCCAGGCAAUGGGGCCAGAGACGCCGCGGUGCCCCUUCUCCAUCGGUGAAAGGGGGUUGUGUGGCACCUGCCCUGAGGGUCGGGCCAGGAUGAAAGGA
RNAcentral lists this long non-coding RNA (2449 nucleotides) under Homo sapiens (human). RNAcentral describes it as "non-protein coding lnc-EEF1A2-1:3". Lineage: Eukaryota; Metazoa; Chordata; Mammalia; Primates; Hominidae. The record is from RNAcentral.